RNA transcript from Drosophila rhopaloa, 784 nucleotides. RefSeq lists it as uncharacterized. The transcript is spliced from 3 exons. The record is from RefSeq and is a predicted model, not a curated record. Lineage: Eukaryota; Metazoa; Arthropoda; Insecta; Diptera; Drosophilidae.
UUCAUUAUGUAAAUUUGGUUUGACUUACAUACAAAAUACCCAAAAAUAGUUUUCAAAAAGUAACUCCAAAUCGGCAACCGAAACCUUUCUAUCCAUUGUCAGUGAGAGUGGAACCCAAAGUUCCAUUGGAAAGAUGCCAGUGGCAGUGCGUCUUGUGGAGGCUUUGACCCUAAUCACCAUUAUGGGUCUGAUCACCUGCAUUGGUCUAAGUGUGAUCCUGGCUCAAAAAACCCUCAGUAUAACAAUAACAUUUCUGGAGCCCGCAGCGAAUAUAGCCAAUAUGGCACUGAUGUUGACCGAGAAAGUGCUGGUGUCUUCUCUGCUCUGUGUUUUGGGUCUGACCAAUGUGGUGGGAAAUGCCCUUCAAGCGGCUGGAAUCGCCUAAAAAUCGCUCUCCUUGGAUGCUUUAGUUCACCUCCACUAACUUCGGUUUUCUGAUCAAUGUUGGACUGUUUUUUUUGGGCGGGGGUCGAUGGCAAACUCAAACGCGGCACCGCUCACUAAUAUUCAAUCAAACAAUUUUACGCCCCAAUAAACUUUUCUAACCUGCGGCUGGUCAAAACAAGAGCGAAAAAUACAAAAAUAAAGUAAAGCAGAACUCUGCUCAAUUGCAGCAAAUUUGUGCCUGGCCAAAACGAAAUUGUGGAAUGAGACGCGCAACGAGAAAAAUAAAUAUUUUUACCACAAAAGCCAAUUUGGCCGUACAAAUUUAAACUGCGCUCGAGGAUGAAUAUAAUUUUUGGAGCCUUUUUAAUACACUUCAAUAGGGUGCUUCAACCCAGAG